This is a long non-coding RNA of Cyclopterus lumpus (lumpfish), 168 nucleotides long. RefSeq lists it as uncharacterized. Lineage: Eukaryota; Metazoa; Chordata; Actinopteri; Perciformes; Cyclopteridae. The record is from RefSeq and is a predicted model, not a curated record. The transcript is spliced from 3 exons.
CCUGGGUAAAUAACCAGGAGGACUCCCGAGAGCUGGCUCCAUCAGGCAUACAAUCAAAGAAAAAAAGGCUUUUGAAAACGGUGUGCCAUCUAAAGAACUCUGCAGAGUCCCUUGAUAACAACACGAAAAAAGCCCCAAGAACACCGAAGAAGAAGCAGAAGAAGCAGC